This 325-nucleotide unclassified non-coding RNA is filed under the name Hevea brasiliensis (rubber tree). The record is from RNAcentral. Lineage: Eukaryota; Viridiplantae; Streptophyta; Magnoliopsida; Malpighiales; Euphorbiaceae.
AAUUUGGGUUUUCUCAUCCAAUUCGAUCUAUAUUGUGAGUGCUGCUUUAAUGAUGUCUAGACCUAUGCUACUCGUCUUUCUAUUACUUGUACUCAUAAUCACCUCGCAGUUUGAGUGGAGACAACAACUUGUAAAUGACAUUGAUUCCACUCCUGUUGUCAACCAGAAGCAGCAACAGAUAUCAAAGAGGGAAGAAGCUGUAAAGGAGAAGAUUAUCUUAUCACAAGAGAAGAAUAUUUUUAGACUCAACGAACUUGUCCGGAGUCUUCGGCAGCAACUACUGCUGUGCAGGUGCAAUAAUGAGACCACAAAUGGCAUCUCUGGC